GCGGCCAUGGCGGAAUUGGUAGACGCGCUAGCUUGAGGUGCUAGUCUUUUAACCGAGGUGGAGGUUCGAGUCCUCUUGGCCGCACCA
This 87-nucleotide transfer RNA is filed under the name Hyphomicrobiales bacterium. RNAcentral's name for it is "tRNA-Leu". It matches the Rfam family "tRNA". Rfam says of the family: Transfer RNA (tRNA) molecules are approximately 80 nucleotides in length. Their secondary structure includes four short double-helical elements and three loops (D, anti-codon, and T loops). Lineage: Bacteria; Pseudomonadati; Pseudomonadota; Alphaproteobacteria; Hyphomicrobiales. The record is from RNAcentral.